CCUACGGGUGGCUGCAGUGGGGAAUAUUGGACAAUGGGGGGAACCCUGAUCCAGCCAUGCCGCGUGUGUGAAGAAGGCCCUCGGGUUGUAAAGCACUUUCAGUGAGGAAGAACGCCUGGUGGUUAAUACCCAUCAGGAAAGACAUCACUCACAGAAGAAGCACCGGCUAACUCCGUGCCAGCAGCCGCGGUAAUACGGAGGGUGCGAGCGUUAAUCGGAAUUACUGGGCGUAAAGCGCGCGUAGGUGGCUUGAUAAGCCGGUUGUGAAAGCCCCGGGCUCAACCUGGGAACGGCAUCCGGAGCUGUCAAGCUAGAGUGCAGGAGAGGAAGGUAGUAUUCCCGGUGUAGCGGUUAAAUGCGUUGGGAUCGGGAGGGAUACCCGUGGCUGAGGCGGCCUUCUGGACUGACACACACCCUGUGGUGCGAAAGCGUGGGUAGCAAACAGGCAUAGCAACCCGAGUAGUC
This 465-nucleotide ribosomal RNA is filed under the name Vreelandella stevensii. RNAcentral describes it as "partial 16S ribosomal RNA". It matches the Rfam family "Bacterial small subunit ribosomal RNA", at positions 338 to 795 of the family's 1533-position model. The record is from RNAcentral. Lineage: Bacteria; Pseudomonadati; Pseudomonadota; Gammaproteobacteria; Oceanospirillales; Halomonadaceae.